Aptenodytes forsteri (emperor penguin) is the source of this 188-nucleotide long non-coding RNA. RefSeq lists it as uncharacterized. The record is from RefSeq and is a predicted model, not a curated record. NCBI's taxonomy places the organism in Eukaryota, Metazoa, Chordata, Aves, Sphenisciformes, Spheniscidae. The transcript is spliced from 3 exons.
CUCCAACCUGGCGCUCAAUGGCAUCGUCUUGGGGACCAUCUUCCUGGGCGGCUCCAUGAUGGCCGGGGACGAGCUCUCACCAGGCGACCUGAUGUCCUUCCUGGUGGCCUCGCAGACGGUGCAAAGGUCCAUGGCCAACAUCUCCAUCCUGCUUGGGCAGGUAGGUGGGGCGGGGGCUCCCGCUGGCC